GAUGAACGCUGGCGGUAUGCUUAACACAUGCAAGUCGAACGGACUCUUCGGAGUUAGUGGCGGACGGGUGAGUAACGCGUGAGAAUCUGGCUUUGGGUUCGGGACAACCACUGGAAACGGUGGCUAAUACCGGAUGUGCCGAGAGGUAAAAGAGAAAUUGACUGAAGAUGAGCUCGCGUCUGAUUAGCUAGUUGGUGAGGUAAAGGCUCACCAAGGCAGCGAUCAGUAGCUGGUCUGAGAGGAUGACCAGCCACACUGGGACUGAGACACGGCCCAGACUCCUACGGGAGGCAGCAGUGGGGAAUUUUCCGCAAUGGGCGAAAGCCUGACGGAGCAAUACCGCGUGAGGGAAGAAGGCUCUUGGGUUGUAAACCUCUUUUCUUAGGGAAGAACAAAAUGACGGUACCUAAGGAAUCAGCAUCGGCUAACUCCGU
Molecule: ribosomal RNA, 434 nt
Filed under: uncultured bacterium
Lineage: Bacteria
Description: partial 16S ribosomal RNA
Rfam family: Bacterial small subunit ribosomal RNA
Source: RNAcentral